GCCAGAGUGGUGUAGCGGUUUGGCUGUUGGACUACAACUCUGGAGACCAGGGUUCGAAUCCUGGCUCGGCCA
Phrynosoma platyrhinos (Desert horned lizard) is the source of this 72-nucleotide non-coding RNA. The record is from the annotation of a GenBank genome assembly. Lineage: Eukaryota; Metazoa; Chordata; Lepidosauria; Squamata; Phrynosomatidae.